Long non-coding RNA from Bombyx mori (domestic silkworm), 3398 nucleotides. RefSeq lists it as uncharacterized. NCBI's taxonomy places the organism in Eukaryota, Metazoa, Arthropoda, Insecta, Lepidoptera, Bombycidae. The record is from RefSeq and is a predicted model, not a curated record. The transcript is spliced from 4 exons.
AUUACUUUUAUAAUUCCUAAUUUUAUUUUAUUUUACUUGUUACGUCUUUCUAUAGCUUUAAAACCUUUUAUAAAAAUAAAUUGUUAUAAAAGGUACUGAAACUGUAAUUCACGUAAGCAGCGACCAAUAGAGCACGUAAGAGCAGAGCGUUUGUCUCGAGCGUGGUCGAGGCGCCAUCUUUACUUUGGAAAGGCUUGUAUUGUCGGUUGACACAUUUUUUGAGAGAAUAGAGAAUUUAAUUUAGGUUUCGGUAUCCCUCUAGCACUGACUUCUGCUCAACUUGUAUUGAAUUGAAUGAAAGAAUCGAAAAAGAAAACGAUCGAAUCGAAAAAAAUGAGUUAAUGACUGCACUAGCUCUUUAAAAAAAAACUAAUAUUAAAAAAAAAAAUGUUGAAAAAAAAGGCAUGCCCGCUGAGUUUCUUGCCAGUUCUUCUCAGGACGGAGGCUGGUUUUUGUCAAUUGGCGGUAGUUCUUUUUGACGUUCAACAAGUAUGUAUGUAUCUUUCAUUUAUGUUGAAUAAUAUUUUUUUUGAUUUCAUUGAUUUUAUUGAUAAGACUGAGAGUGCAUAAAUUACGAGCAAAGACGUUCUUUAAAAUGCUGCAGGAGCAAAAAGAUCAUAUUAUGAUAAUCUUCUCCUUUGAUUUCCAGAAAAACUGUCCACUCUCUCGAAUUCCCGACCAAAGUGCUUACUUACUACAGUCGCCAAUUUUACUUAUAUAAUUUUACUAUUGUGCAAGGAUCCUCUAAAGACAAGCUUAAUAACUUAGAAUAAUAAGAAACCUAGCCAUAUUUACUAAGCACAUUACUCGGCCCGUCAGUGCUCUCAAAUAUAUUAAGUGUACAAUCUAUGGUCAGUGCUCAAAGACGUGUCGUAUUGAAAACUACUCUCAAUUUUUUAUUAAAAAUGACGGUUUGUGCAGUGAACGGAUGUCACAGUAUAUCGGAAAAACACAAGAAACAUAGUGUGGGUGACUCAAAUGUAUUCAUUUAUUUUAUAAUAUUUUAUUAUAAUUACACUACACAACAACACAUACAUACUUUAUUUUAUAUCAACACAUUCAUUUAUCUCACAAUCAUACAAAACAUUAUUUACACUAAACAAAAUUAAUUCACAAACAAAGUCAGGCGAUAACUGCAGUAUAGCGGCGACGAUAAUAUUUCGCGAGUACAUCGGUGCAUAGACGAACCGGUUGUCGCAUUUUUACCGAUCCAGUCGAAAUCUGACUUGCGAGCGCGCAUCCCGUGUUAUUCUUUUUGUACUACGCCUUUUAAUUAUUGCUCUUUGUUUCGUGUUAAAGCUUGUGCUGCUUGAACUAUUUCAUGUUACUUUCUCCUUCUUUUAUAUUUGUGUUCGUCUUAAAUAAAAACUUUCUUUGUGUCCUUUUGUGUUUGAAAAGACAUUAAAUUACAACCCGAGACGACUAAAGAUAGUAAAGUAACAUUACAUUUCACGGGUUUCCUUCUGAUCCGAUCAUUGCGGCUUGAUGGACGGGAAAAAUUAGACGUAAUCGAAAUGUAGACAAUUGGGUGCCAGCUAAAAAUACAAAAAUUUGUUCCUUACAUUUCGAGGAUAAAGAAAAGUAUAUUACUAAAGGUGAUCUUUGUACAUUACGCAGGGGUGUAGUUCCAACUAAAAAUCUGCCCGUUUUUAUUAUUGAAGAGAUUGUUAAUAGCAGUAGCUUAUGAUGUUGUGAUUUACAGCAACACCAAGAGCGAAAUCUACCUCAGCCGUGUACCUCAGGCUGUAAUACGAGUGAAAACGAUAAUCUGGGCACUCAGUCACCUUUAUCUUCAGGACUAGAUUCCAUUUUUGAUACGCCUAAAAAGGCUUCCUUACGGAGACACCUACGGAAAAAGAUUUUGCUGCAACGAAAUAAAGUAGAAAGAUUAAGACUCUAAAGCAAAAUAAUCACCGUUUAAAGAAAAUAAACGUCACAUUUAAAAAUAUUUUAGUAGACUUGCAGAAGAAAAGAUAUAUCAAUAAUGACAUCUCCAACAUUUUGUUGGAAAAUAUAUUUGUAGCAGAACUAUGCAAUAGCUUGGUUAAAAAAAUACGUAAAGAAAAAAACGACCGAUGCCCAUAUUAGUUGGUUUUAGAAAGUUCUGCUUUACUCUGCAUUUUUAUUCGCCACGAGCAUACACCUAUGUUCGUAAAACAUUUAAUACGUGCCUUCCACACCCGAAAACAAUUUAUAGCUGGUAUAGAACAAUAAAUGGUUCCCCGGGCUUUACCGAUGAAACUAUUAACAUUUUGAAAUCAAAAGUACAACAGUGUAUGCAGAAGAAAUUAUAUUAAUAUGUGGCUUGGUCAUCAAUUUGUCAUCAAGUGUGAAAUAGUUUCAACUUGCCCUAUUUUUAGGCAAAGUUAAUUUAUUGGCAACAUUAUUUUUUUCACCGUUUCGCGUUACGUCGAGCGUAAAUACAAAUACCUUACGCACACAUAGAUUAUAUUCUUGCCUCGCUUUUGACAGACCGCUUUGAAGAGAACUAUCGUUCUAUGAGUUAUUAUUCUAAGCUCAAUAAAAACACAACCUUUGCAUACACCUGGACAGAAAACGAAUUUGGUAAAACAGCUAAUUAAAUAGCGUCAGCCGUCUAUGAUAGAUUAAAUAAAACGAAUUUAUCAGGGAUCACUAUCAUACGCUUAUUUGCCGACGGAUGUGGUGGGCAAAACAAAAAUAGCAUAAUGCAAAGUAUGCUAUCAAAAAAUGGUUAUUGGAAAAAGCUUCUGUCAAAUAUAUCGAAAUAAUAUCUCCCGUAACAGGGUAUAGUUUAAUGCCUCCGGAUAGUCUUCGGUAAUAUAGAAAAGGUUCUAAAGAAACUAGAAGUAAUCAUCAUCCAACCAGAAGAGUAUUGCGACAUCAUUUCAAGUAAUGCGACGAUAACGAAUCUAAGGGAUAUUAUUAUGUUAGACUUCUAAAGAGCCACUCAAGAGCUUUUUAAGCCGACAGCGAAAUGGCCAUUCACAAUAGCCGAAUGCAAAGAUUCAUUAUAAAAAGAUCGAAGACCUCAGGAAACACAGUUAUCCGCGGUGUACCGUUUUAUAAUUCAGAUACGGAAUAAAGCCUUUAAUGUCUGCAAAACCGGUAAAAAUACAAACCUACCACAAUUUCAAUGGGAGUGCCUGUAACGUAGGCCAAAAUAACGGAUGUUGAGAAAUUGUUAGCAAAACAUUUCGAAUUAGCAAUUUUGGCAAGACAGAGAAGACUUAACAUUUUACGUAGGUAUUAUUAUUAGAGGGCCAUUUGUUGAAUUUAAUCAAAAUUUAGAAGAAAGAUUUUGUGGAGGGAUAGCAGAAGAAUCACCAGUAUUAACAAUAUAAUAAGUAUUUAAUAUAUAAUAAGUAUUUCACUUAUCUAAUUAAAAAUGUAUUAAAAUUUGUAACAAAAUAAGAUAA